UUACCAGGUCUUGACAUCCCUUGACAACUCCAGAGAUGGAGCGUUCCCUUCGGGGACAAGGUGACAGGUGGUGCAUGGUUGUCGUCAGCUCGUGUCGUGAGAUGUUGGGUUAAGUCCCGNAACGAGCGCAACCCUUAUUACUAGUUGCCAGCAUUUAGUUGGGCACUCUAGUGAGACUGCCGGUGACAAACCGGAGGAAGGUGGGGAUGACGUCAAAUCAUCAUGCCCCUUAUGACCUGGGCUACACACGUGCUACAAUGGCGUAUACAACGAGUUGCCAACCCGCGAGGGUGAGCUAAUCUCUUAAAGUACGUCUCAGUUCGGAUUGUAGGCUGCAACUCGCCUACAUGAAGUCGGAAUCGCUAGUAAUCGCGGAUCAGCACGCCGCGGUGAAUACGUUCCCGGGUCUUGUACACACCGCCCGUCACACCAUGAGAGUUUGUAACACCCAAAGCCGGUGGGGUAACCUUUUAGGAGCCAGCCGUCUAAGGUGGGACAGAUGAUUAGGGUGAAGUCGUAACAAGGUAGGCGUAGCGAG
This 538-nucleotide ribosomal RNA is filed under the name uncultured bacterium. Its description in RNAcentral is "bacterial SSU rRNA". It matches the Rfam family "Bacterial small subunit ribosomal RNA", at positions 971 to 1509 of the family's 1533-position model. The record is from RNAcentral.